Zingiber officinale is the source of this 344-nucleotide long non-coding RNA. RefSeq lists it as uncharacterized. The record is from RefSeq and is a predicted model, not a curated record. The transcript has 3 exons. Lineage: Eukaryota; Viridiplantae; Streptophyta; Magnoliopsida; Zingiberales; Zingiberaceae.
UUUCCGCUGCAGGAACAAAACCAAGAAUUGGUUCUGAUGAUAGAGGCAAUGCUAUAUUAGGUUUAAUGCAAAACUUGUUUGUUGAAGGAUUGGGUCCACAAUGGAUAAGGCCUGCACCACCGACGCUCCCAGUGUUAGAUGGAGAACUUAUAUGGCUCAAUCCUGACAGCAAUCACGAGCUUUUGUGGGAUUAUGGCAUGUGUGCUGACACCAGUCGAGGGGCUGCAGUGAGAGAUUUGAUUGAUAAAGCAUAAAAGGCCCACUUGCACCUGCCCAACAAGAGCAAUUUGUGUUAGAACUUGCAAAGGAUGCGAAACUCAUCUAUCAUUGUGGACUUACUCCUU